UCCGGUUGAUCCUGCCGGACCUGACUGCUAUCGGAUUGAUACUAAGCCAUGCGAGUCAUUGUAGCAAUACAAGGCAUACGGCUCAGUAACGCGUAGUCAACCUAACCUAUGGACGGGAAUAACCUCGGGAAACUGAGAAUAAUGCCCGAUAGAACAUUAUGCCUGGAAUGGCUUAUGUUCCAAAUGAUUUAUCGCCGUAGGAUGGGACUGCGGCCUAUCAGUUUGUUGGUGAGGUAAUGGCCCACCAAGACUAUUACAGGUACGGGCUCUGAGAGGAGUAGCCCGGAGAUGGGUACUGAGACACGGACCCAGGCCCUAUGGGGCGCAGCAGGCGAGAAAACUUUGCAAUGUGCGAAAGCACGACAAGGUUAAUCCGAGUGAUUUGUGCUAAACGAAUCUUUUGUUAGUCCUAGAACCACUAACGAAUAAGGGGUGGGCAAGUUCUGGUGUCAGCCGCCGCGGUAAAACCAGCACCUCAAGUGGUCAGGAUGAUUAUUGGGCCUAAAGCAUCCGUAGCCGGCUCUGUAAGUUUUCGGUUAAAUCUGUACGCUUAACGUACAGGCUGCCGGGAAUACUGCAGAGCUAGGGAGUGGGAGAGGUAGACGGUACUCGGUAGGAAGUGGUAAAAUGCUUUGAUCUAUCGAUGACCACCUGUGGCGAAGGCGGUCUACCAGAACACGUCCGACGGUGAGGGAUGAAAGCUGGGGGAGCAAACCGGAUUAGAUACCCGGGUAGUCCCAGCUGUAAACUAUGCAAACUCAGUGAUGCAUUGGCUUGUGGCCAAUGCAGUGCUGCAGGGAAGCCGUUAAGUUUGCCGCCUGGGAAGUACGUACGCAAGUAUGAAACUUAAAGGAAUUGGCGGGGGAGCACCACAAGGGGUGAAGCCUGCGGUUCAAUUGGAGUCAACGCCGGA
This 913-nucleotide ribosomal RNA is filed under the name uncultured marine archaeon. RNAcentral describes it as "bacterial SSU rRNA". It matches the Rfam family "Archaeal small subunit ribosomal RNA", at positions 1 to 922 of the family's 1478-position model. The record is from RNAcentral.